RNAcentral lists this ribosomal RNA (468 nucleotides) under uncultured bacterium. RNAcentral describes it as "partial 16S ribosomal RNA". It matches the Rfam family "Bacterial small subunit ribosomal RNA", at positions 28 to 507 of the family's 1533-position model. The record is from RNAcentral.
GACGACCGCUGGCGGCGUUCUUAACACAUUCAAGUCGAACGGAAAUGCCCUGCUUUUGUGGGGUGCUCGCGUGGCUAACGGGUGAGUAACACGUUAGUAACCUGCCCUUGACUUUGGGAUCACUUCAUGUAACUGGGGCUUAUACCUGAUAGGAGCUCCUGCUGCAUGGUGUGGGUUGGAAAGUUUCGGCGGUUGGGGAUGGACUCGCGGCUUAUCAGCUUGUUGGUGGGGUAGUGGCUUACCAAGGCUUUGACGGGUAGCCGGCCUGAGAGGUUGACCGGCCACAUUGGGAAGGAGAUACGGCACAGACUCCUACGGGAGGGAGCAGGGGGGAAGAUUGGACAAUGGGCGGAAGCGUGAUGUAGGAACGCCGCGUGCGGGAGGACGGCCAGCGGGAUGGAAACCGCUUUCGACAGUGACGAAGAGUGAGUGAAGGUAAGGGGUAAAGAAGCACAGGCUAACUAAGUG